CGGCACCUCAAGUGGUCAGGAUGAUUAUUGGGCCUAAAGCAUCCGUAGCCGGCGCUGUAAGUUUUCGGUUAAAUCUGUACGCUCAACGUACAGGCUGCCGGGAAUACUGCAGCGCUAGGGAGUGGGAGAGGUAGACGGUACUCGGUAGGAAGGGGCAAAAUCCUUUGAUCUAUUGAUGACCACCUGUGGCGAAGGCGGUCUACCAGAACACGUCCGACGGUGAGGGAUGAAAGCUGGGGGAGCAAACCGGAUUAGAUACCCGUGUAGUCC
This 270-nucleotide ribosomal RNA is filed under the name uncultured archaeon. RNAcentral describes it as "partial 16S ribosomal RNA". It matches the Rfam family "Archaeal small subunit ribosomal RNA", at positions 477 to 747 of the family's 1478-position model. The record is from RNAcentral.